This 323-nucleotide ribosomal RNA is filed under the name uncultured bacterium. RNAcentral describes it as "bacterial SSU rRNA". It matches the Rfam family "Bacterial small subunit ribosomal RNA", at positions 196 to 507 of the family's 1533-position model. The record is from RNAcentral.
AAGUUUGAAAGAUGCAAUUGCAUCACUCAAAGAUGAUCCCGCGUUGUAUUAGCUAGUUGGUGAGGUAAAGGCUCACCAAGGCGAUGAUACAUAGCCGACCUGAGAGGGUGAUUGGCCACAUUGGGACUGGGACACGGCCCAAACUCCUACGGGAGGCAGCAGUAGGGAAUCUUCGGCAAUGGACGAAAGUCUGACCGAGCAACGCCGCGUGAGUGAAGAAGGUUUUCGGAUCGUAAAACUCUGUUGGUAGAGAAGAACGUUGGUGAGAGUGGAAAGCUCAUCAAGUGACGGUAACUACCCAGAAAGGGACGGCUAACUACGUG